UACGUAGGGGGCAAGCGUUGUCCGGAUUUAUUGGGCGUAAAGAGCGUGUAGGCGGCCAGUUAGGUCCGUUGUGAAAACUCGAGGCUCAACCUCGAGACGCCGAUGGAAACCAACUGGCUAGAGUCCGGAAGAGGAGAGUGGAAUUCCCGGUGUAGCGGUGAAAUGCGCAGAUAUCGAGAAGAGCACCCGUGGCUAAGGCGGCUCUCUAGUACGGUACUGACGCUGAGACGCGAAAGCGUGGGGAGCGAACAGG
This 253-nucleotide ribosomal RNA is filed under the name uncultured bacterium. RNAcentral's name for it is "partial 16S ribosomal RNA". It matches the Rfam family "Bacterial small subunit ribosomal RNA", at positions 524 to 776 of the family's 1533-position model. The record is from RNAcentral.